Molecule: ribosomal RNA, 351 nt
Filed under: uncultured bacterium
Lineage: Bacteria
Description: partial 16S ribosomal RNA
Rfam family: Bacterial small subunit ribosomal RNA
Source: RNAcentral
CCUACGGGAGGCAGCAGUGGGGGAUAUUGCACAAUGGGGGAAACCCUGAUGCAGCGACGCCGCGUGAGUGAAGAAGUAUUUCGGUAUGUAAAGCUCUAUCAGCAGGGAAGAAAAUGACAGUACCUGACCAAGAAGCCCCGGCUAACUACGUGCCAGCAGCCGCGGUAAUACGUAGGGGGCAAGCGUUAUCCGGAUUUACGGGGUGUAAAGGGAGCGUAGACGGUUAUGUAAGGCUGGAGUGAAAGCCCGGGGCCCAACCCCGGGACUGCUGUGGAAACUGUGUAACGGGAGUACAGGAGGGGCAGGGGGAAUUCCGGGUGUAGCGGGGAAGGGCGGAGAUAUCAGGAGGAA